GGGGGCUGGGGAGGGGUGGUAGCAUUGUUUGUUAUUAUGAGAUGGGUUCAUCAUAUUUAUUCACAUAUUUCAUUAAUAGACAUGCUGUUAACAAAGAACAGUACUGCUAUUUCCAUCUGUAUGUUUUCCCAGUACAAGCCUAUCUCUCAUCGUAAUUUAUAACAGCACAUAGCUACAAGGACUGUGUUAUAAACUUUGGGAAACAUGUUUUAUUUAAAUAAGGUGUUAUAAUUUUUGGUUUUACAUAUUCAUCAAUUGUAAAAAUGCAUUGGUAUUUAAAUUGAUUUAGUUUUUAAAAUUCCCUCAAAUUAUUCAAAAUGGCGGCUCUUGAGACCGGAAAUGCCCAGUUUUGAUGAUCGGUUAAUAAACUAACAGGUUGUAAGGAAAGAAAAUAUUACUAAAAUUUGUUUCAAUUAAAUGCAGAAUUCUUAAGAUAAUAUUAAGUAAAUAAUAUUGUUUUUUAACCAAAAUAAAUUUUAAAGAUUUAUCCCGGUAUUAAUCGUGGCUGUAUCGUGAUUGGCCAAAAUUUCAAACUUUGACUUUCGUGAAUUCUGAUUGGACAAUUGCCAUUCCGCCAUCAAAUUUUGAAAUGGGCAAAGAAGACAGGAGUUGUUGUGAAGAUUUUCCUGAUUUUUUCAAGAAAUAUGCAGAAUCACAGCGUGUUGUAUGUAGUAAUGAAACUGCAAGCAGUGGUUUCAUAAAGAUAGACAUGCUUAAGACCUGGAUGAUAUGGCUUUAGUUGUGGAUGACCAUUUCCAUUCAGGAAAAAAUCCCAACCAAGUCCAGCUAGCAGACUGUACACCAGAUUGAAGAUACAUCAUUAAUACAAGAUGAAAAAAAUUAAUGGAGGACGAGGAUAAUACUAUGAAAGAGAUCAUAUGCAAGAGCAACCGUUCCCAUAGAAAUACAUGGAGCCAUGUAAACAGAAACCAGUUUUCACCUGCCAGGUGCUGGUCACAUAUAUAUUCAACUUGGAAGUUCAACAGAUUAAAGAAACAGAUCCAGUUGUUUGCUGAUAAAUUACUGCAGGUCAUUGGUAUCAUCUAGAACCAGGACUGUUUUAAAAAUCAUACUAGUAUGUUUGGAACAAAAUCAUGCUAGUAUAUGUUAGGAAUUUAACCUAAAACAUGCUUUAAUUAUAAAGGUUUUGGUCAAAUUUUGGUUUACAAAAUAAUGUUUUUCAAACUUUCUAUUCAAAUUUAGCAAGAACAUUAGACACACAUGUAAUCCCAAAUGCUUUUAUGUUAGAUUAUUGCUUUAUUUAAAAAACUUGCAUAUAGGGUCUGUAAUGAUUUGAGAUAAUUAUGUAAACACUAAAAUGCUUUUUUGGUGACAUAUGCGGGAUAUGAAUGUAGCGACAUUGCAGAAAAAAUACAUUACCCGCAUUAGCGAGUUAUGUAAAUUUUUUCUGCAAUCAUUGCUCCCUUCACUACCUGCAUGAAUCGUCAAAGAAAGUUAUAUUGUUUAUAUUUACAUCCUUCUUUUAACAAAUUGUUUGUAAAGAGUAAGUUAAAUUUACUAUAUUAUUUUUAAUGUGCAUCAGUACGUUAGCUAAAAGAAACAGCCAAAUUGUCUUCAAUGGGAAUGUGAGUCUGCAUUGAUAUCCUGAUUAUUUCAAUGAUUUUUCUAAGGUCAUUAUAGGUUUCGACCAAUCGUUAAACAAGGCGUUAACUAUAAGUUUCCAUAAGAAAUGGAGGAAAGCAUACUCAUUAGAUGUAAAUAUAAUUCAGUAAACAUAUUGAUUAACAUAAACAUUGACUUGUGUUCUUCUGCUCACAUGAACAGAUAUGAUUUUAAAUUCCUAUUCAAGAGCAAAAACAAUUUGAUGAAAAAUUCAUGUCAACAUUAGGGACUUUUUUUUCAUCAGUAUAACACCUGUACAUGUACCUGGGGUUUUUUUUUAUCUGAAGUUUAUGAUACAGAUAGAUAUUUUUUGCCUACAUCUGUAAUUUUUCUGUGUAACUUUUCUGUACCUAAAUGAUAACUUUUUUGUAUCUACAUCUAUAACUUUUCUGUACCUAAACAAUAACUUUUCUGUAACUUUAUGUAUAACUUUUCUGUACCUACAUCUAUAACUUUUCUGUACCUAAAUGAUAACUUUUCUGUAACUAUAUGUAUAACUUUUCUGUACCUACAUCUAUAACUUUUCUGUACCUAAAUGAUAACUUUUCUGUAACUAUAUGUAUAACUUUUCUGUACCUACAUCUAUAACUUUUCUGUACCUAAAUGAUAACUUUUCUGUAACUAUAUGUAUAACUUUUCUGUACCUACGUCUAUAACUUUUCUGUACCUAAAUGAUAACUUUUCUGUAACUAUACGUAUAACUUUUCUGUACCUAAAUGAUAACUUUUCUGUAACUAUAUGUAUAACUUUUCUGUACCUACAUCUAUAACUUUUCUGUACCUAAAUGAUAACUUUUCUAUACCUAUAUGUAUAACUUUUUUGUACCUAAAUGAUAACUUUUCUGUAACUUUAAUUUGUAACUUUUUUGUACCUAAAUGAUAACUUUAUUAUAACUUUUUGAUAACUUUUUUAUACCUAUUUAUUUUUAUGAAAAAAAUAAAUUGUCAAUAGUUACACUCUAGUUAUGACUUUUUUGUACUUAAGCAAAAAGUUACAAUAUAGGUAUAACUUUUUGAUGCUAAUUUGGAACCAUAAUUGAUCAGAUGGUUCCAAAUUGUGCUAACUUAGUUAUGACUUUUUUGUAACUUUUUUAAGGGCUCAUAGGUAUAACUUUUUAGUGCUUU
This is a long non-coding RNA of Magallana angulata, 2747 nucleotides long. RefSeq lists it as uncharacterized. Lineage: Eukaryota; Metazoa; Mollusca; Bivalvia; Ostreida; Ostreidae. The transcript is spliced from 4 exons. The record is from RefSeq and is a predicted model, not a curated record.